Molecule: ribosomal RNA, 459 nt
Filed under: uncultured bacterium
Lineage: Bacteria
Description: bacterial SSU rRNA
Rfam family: Bacterial small subunit ribosomal RNA
Source: RNAcentral
UGGGGAAUCUUGCACAAUGGGCGAAAGCCUGAUGCAGCAACGCCGCGUGCGGGAAGACAGCCCUAGGGUUGUAAACCGCUUUCAGCAGGGAAGAAACUGACGGUACCUGCAGAAGAAGAUGCGGCCAACUACGUGCCAGCAGCCGCGGUGACACGUAGGCAUCAAGCGUUAUCCGGAUUUAUUGGGCGUAAAGAGCUCGUAGGCGGUUCGGUAAGUCGGGUGUGAAAACUCUGGGCUCAACCCAGAGAGGCCACUCGAUACUGCUGUGACUAGAGUGCGGUAGGGGAGCGGGGAAUUCCUGGUGUAGCGGUGAAAUGCGCAGAUAUCAGGAGGAACACCAGUGGCGAAGGCGCCGCUCUGGGCCGUAACUGACGCUGAGGAGCGAAAGCAUGGGUAGCAAACAGGAUUAGAUACCCUGGUAGUCCAUGCCGUAAACGUUGGGCACUAGGUGUGGGUCUC